GAUUAAGUUAUUAAGGGCGCACGGUGGAUGCCUUGGCACUAGAAGCCGAUGAAGGACGUUACUAACGACGAUAUGCUUUGGGGAGCUGUAAGUAAGCUUUGAUCCAGAGAUUUCCGAAUGGGGAAACCCAGCAUGAGUUAUGUCAUGUUAUCGAUAUGUGAAUACAUAGCAUAUCAGAAGGCACACCCGGAGAACUGAAACAUCUUAGUACCCGGAGGAAGAGAAAGAAAAUUCGAUUCCCUUAGUAGCGGCGAGCGAAACGGGAAGAGCCCAAACCAACAAGCUUGCUUGUUGGGGUUGUAGGACACUCUAUACGGAGUUACAAAGGACGACAUUAGACGAAUCAUCUGGAAAGAUGAAUCAAAGAAGGUAAUAAUCCUGUAGUCGAAAAUGUUGUCUCUCUUGAGUGGAUCCUGAGUACGACGGAGCACGUGAAAUUCCGUCGGAAUCUGGGAGGACCAUCUCCUAAGGCUAAAUACUCUCUAGUGACCGAUAGUGAACCAGUACCGUGAGGGAAAGGUGAAAAGCACCCCGGAAGGGGAGUGAAAUAGAACCUGAAACCGUGUGCUUACAAGUAGUCAGAGCCCGUUAAUGGGUGAUGGCGUGCCUUUUGUAGAAUGAACCGGCGAGUUACGAUUUGAUGCAAGGUUAAGCAGUAAAUGUGGAGCCGUAGCGAAAGCGAGUCUGAAUAGGGCGUUUAGUAUUUGGUCGUAGACCCGAAACCAGGUGAUC
This 732-nucleotide ribosomal RNA is filed under the name Staphylococcus aureus. Its description in RNAcentral is "partial 23S ribosomal RNA". It matches the Rfam family "Bacterial large subunit ribosomal RNA", at positions 1 to 730 of the family's 2925-position model. Lineage: Bacteria; Bacillati; Bacillota; Bacilli; Caryophanales; Staphylococcaceae. The record is from RNAcentral.